This 493-nucleotide ribosomal RNA is filed under the name uncultured bacterium. RNAcentral describes it as "bacterial SSU rRNA". It matches the Rfam family "Bacterial small subunit ribosomal RNA", at positions 28 to 507 of the family's 1533-position model. The record is from RNAcentral.
GAUGAACGCUAGCUACAGGCUUAACACAUGCAAGUCGAGGGGAAACGACAUCGAAAGCUUGCUUUUGAUGGGCGUCGACCGGCGCACGGGUGAGUAACGCGUAUCCAACCUGCCCACCACUUGGGGAUAACCUUGCGAAAGUAAGACUAAUACCCAAUGAUAUCCCACGAAGGCAUCCGAAUGGGAUUAAAGAUUUAUCGGUGAUGGAUGGGGAUGCGUCUGAUUAGCUUGUUGGCGGGGUAACGGCCCACCAAGGCAACGAUCAGUAGGGGUUCUGAGAGGAAGGUCCCCCCACAUUGGAACUGAGACACGGUCCAAACUCCUACGGGAGGCAGCAGUGAGGAAUAUUGGUCAAUGGGCGAGAGCCUGAACCAGCCAAGUAGCGUGCAGGACGACGGCCCUAUGGGUUGUAAACUGCUUUUAUAAGGGAAUAAAGUGGGUCUCGUGAGACUUUUUGCAUGUACCUUAUGAAUAAGGACCGGCUAAUUCCGUG